CCAUCUCUUGUUUUUUUGGAACUUACGACUUAUGGAAAGAGAGAAGAAAACUGUGUGACUUUAAAAGAAAACCAGUGAGAUAAAAUCAUAGAAAAUGUAUGAUGAUUCAGGAUGUGGUCAUUUGGUCCUGUUCUGUGGAUGCCCUAAGACAGUGUCUACCCAUCACUCCAUCUGAAAUCACUUGUUCUGUG
Molecule: long non-coding RNA, 191 nt
Organism: Saccostrea cuccullata (small rock oyster)
Lineage: Eukaryota; Metazoa; Mollusca; Bivalvia; Ostreida; Ostreidae
Exons: 3
Source: RefSeq, a predicted model, not a curated record